RNAcentral lists this ribosomal RNA (486 nucleotides) under uncultured bacterium. Its description in RNAcentral is "partial 16S ribosomal RNA". It matches the Rfam family "Bacterial small subunit ribosomal RNA", at positions 29 to 507 of the family's 1533-position model. The record is from RNAcentral.
AACGAACGCUGGCGGCGCGUCUUACCCAUGCAAGUCGAGCGGCAGGCAGCAAUGCCGAGAGCGGAGGACUGGUGAGUAACACGUGGAUAACGUACCCCGAUGUCCGGGACAGCCUGUAGAAAUAGAGGGUAAUACCGGAGAGAUCACUGUUUACGUGAGCUAGACAGCGGGUAAGGAGCUUCGGCUCCGCGACGGGAGCGGUCUGCGGCCCAUUAGCUGGACGGCGGGGUAAAGGCCCGCCGUGGCGAGGACGGGUAUCCGGCCUGAGAGGGCGGACGGACACAGUGGGACUGAGAUACGGCCCAGACUCCUACGGGAGGCAGCAGGUGAGAAUAUUCGGCAAUGGGGGGAACCCUGACGGAGCGACGCCGCGUGAAUGAAGAAGGCCGGAAGGUUGUAAAGUUCUUUUGUGUGCGAGGAAUAAGUUCCGGAGGAAAUGCCGGGACGGUGACGGUAGGGCAGGAAUAAGCACCGGCUAAUUACGUG